GCAGCCGCGGUAAUACGUAGGUGGCAAGCGUUAUCCGGAAUUAUUGGGCGUAAAGCGCGCGCAGGCGGUUUCUUAAGUCUGAUGUGAAAGCCCACGGCUCAACCGGGGAGGGUCAUUGGAAACUGGGAAACUUGAGUGCAGAAGAGAAAAGCGGAAUUCCACGUGUAGCGGUGAAAUGCGUAGAGAUGUGGAGGAACACCAGUGGCGAAGGCGGCUUUUUGGUCUGUAACUGA
This 233-nucleotide ribosomal RNA is filed under the name Priestia megaterium. Its description in RNAcentral is "Bacillus megaterium partial 16S ribosomal RNA". It matches the Rfam family "Bacterial small subunit ribosomal RNA", at positions 511 to 743 of the family's 1533-position model. The record is from RNAcentral. Lineage: Bacteria; Bacillati; Bacillota; Bacilli; Caryophanales; Bacillaceae.